GCCUGCCUGGCUCAAUUGGUGGAGUGUGGGACUCUUGAUCUCGGGGUUGUGAGUUCAAGCCCCACGUUGGGUU
This 73-nucleotide transfer RNA is filed under the name Felis catus (domestic cat). It matches the Rfam family "tRNA". Rfam says of the family: Transfer RNA (tRNA) molecules are approximately 80 nucleotides in length. Their secondary structure includes four short double-helical elements and three loops (D, anti-codon, and T loops). The record is from Rfam by way of RNAcentral. Lineage: Eukaryota; Metazoa; Chordata; Mammalia; Carnivora; Felidae.